RNAcentral lists this ribosomal RNA (599 nucleotides) under Kwoniella mangrovensis. Its description in RNAcentral is "eukaryotic LSU rRNA". It matches the Rfam family "Eukaryotic large subunit ribosomal RNA", at positions 48 to 634 of the family's 3401-position model. The record is from RNAcentral. Lineage: Eukaryota; Fungi; Basidiomycota; Tremellomycetes; Tremellales; Cryptococcaceae.
AAGCGGAGGAAAAGAAACUAACAAGGAUUCCCUUAGUAACGGCGAGUGAACCGGGAAGAGCUCAAAUUUGAAAUCUGGCGUCCUCCGGGCGUCCGAGUUGUAAUCUAUAGAAGCGUUUUCCGCGCCGGACCGUGUAUAAGUCUCCUGGAACGGAGUAUCAAAGAGGGUGACAAUCCCGUGCUUUACACGAUGACCGGUGCUAUGUGAUACGUUCUCUACGAGUCGAGUUGUUUGGGAAUGCAGCUCAAAACGGGUGGUAAACUCCAUCUAAAGCUAAAUAUUGGUGGGAGACCGAUAGCGAACAAGUACCGUGAGGGAAAGAUGAAAAGCACUUUGGAAAGAGAGUUAAACAGUAUGUGAAAUUGUUGAAAGGGAAACGAUUGAAGUCAGUCGUGUCCAUUGGGUUCAGCCGGUCCUGCCGGUCUACUCCCUUUGGACGGGUCAACAUCAGUUCUGACCGGCGGAUAAUGGCACGAGGAACGUGGCACCCUCCGGGGUGUGUUAUAGCCUCGCGUCGCAUACGCUGGUCGGGACUGAGGAACGCAGCUCGCCUUCAUGGCCGGGGUACGCCCACGUACGAGCUUAGGAUGUUACAAAGG